Molecule: long non-coding RNA, 1573 nt
Organism: Hydractinia symbiolongicarpus
Lineage: Eukaryota; Metazoa; Cnidaria; Hydrozoa; Anthoathecata; Hydractiniidae
Exons: 3
Source: RefSeq, a predicted model, not a curated record
AAACACACAUUAAAUGAUUACGCAUGUUUGAUUUUUUUUUGUAUUUUGAACGGUUGGAACAAAACAAAGUUUUGGAAAGACAUAACACAAGGUGAAGGUGUAGAAGAAGAAACAUACUUAGCUACUCACUCUUCUGACAAUCCCACUAAAAAGUCUUACAGGCUAACUGGUAGCUACAGAAGUGCUUUUCAAAAACACUGAGCUUUAAAAUGAAGAACGAAGUGUACCAGCCAACUGCUACCGAUAAUUUAACAUCAGCUGAAGAUGGUGAAAAUGAGACUUAUGUUCCAGCACAGUCAAUAUCUCUUCUUUGGAAAAUGGUCAUAGCAAUAUUACUUCUUCUUUCAAUUAUUCUUAUGAUUUCCUUAAUUGUUGUGUCUAAGAAAUUGAAGAAUCAAGAUGACUGUCCUGUUUGUAUAUCAUGCAGCACCAUAGCAACAACAACAAUGCAAAGUAUUACCACUGCUAACACAACAACAGGUUAAUAAAGGUGUAUUGGAUUCUUCUUUUAACUGUCAAUUAACCAUGAAUUGGUAACAAAACGUCUUUUUGAACAUUUUUGUAUAUAUAAACUUUUUUUUUAGAGCUCUUAAAUAAAAUGGCAGGUUUCUCUUUAAAAUUUUCUCACUGUAAUUUUUUUUUGACCAUCCUUUUUUUAAUUUCCUUUAAUAAGUAAAUCUUCUAAAAUUUUAAUUUUGUUGUAAUUUUCUUUCUUCUUUCGGCUAUAACUAAACUUGAUUUAUAAUUUGAAAUCUUUUAUAAUCUGCAGUGUUAAAAUUAAGUAAACACCAAAAAGGUUUCAGACUUGUAUUCUAAUUUCCUACUUUGUCAUGAAGAGAAAGAUGUAUAUAUUAUUUUUACUUUAUUUUUAUUUUUUAAAUGAAAACCUUAUCAUGAUCAGAAUACUGGCAAUGAAUUUGCACAUGUAUUAGUGAUGCACUUUUUUAUAUGAGAGUUUUUUAUAAGGAGCUGAGGCUCUGUGUUAAAAUUCUUAAGGGAAUGUUAUUGAGAAACAAUGAGGCUCAAAUGAUUCAUGAUUGAGUCUAAAAAGGAAAUUCAACUAUUUUAUUUUUAUUUAUGAUAUAAAUCAAAGGUAGGCUCUGGAUUUGAAGUGGAUUUCCACUUAAAAAAAACUGACAAUUGUCAUUUCUAGGAUCUUAUUAGUCAAUAAAUUUGCCAUUCUGAUUUGCUUUAAUCCAAACUAAAAGUUGAAAUCAUUUUAACUUUCCAUACAGACAGAAGAAAAAAAACUGUAAAAAAUAGAAUAAUUAGAUAGCCAAUCAAAUUUUAGUAUUUUUCUUGUCCGCUUCAAUCUGUUUUGCUCUAAGUGGAAAUCCUCUUUAAGGAACUGCAAGGCUGCCUAAAAAUUCUGGUUCCUUAUAAAACAGAUAUAUAUAUAUAAGUACAUUAUUUUUUUUGUGCACCUAAUAUAUUGUAAUUUUUAUUUAAAAGUAUCUUAUUAGUAUAUGUUAUUAGUAUAUGUAAUUUAAACUGGAAUCUUACUUGACAUUUUAAUGUAAUUUUCUUUGCGAAUAAGUUUUAUUAGUAAUCUUUAAACAAAAUGUUUUUCAAA